This 3008-nucleotide long non-coding RNA is filed under the name Ananas comosus (pineapple). Its description in RNAcentral is "long non-coding RNA (ACOM_LNC007085)". Lineage: Eukaryota; Viridiplantae; Streptophyta; Magnoliopsida; Poales; Bromeliaceae. The record is from RNAcentral.
AGACGUUGGCACUCCUUCAAGCACGUAUCCUGCUGAUUAUAGUACUGUGCCGCUCCCCAUGAUGGCAUCGUUAGAACGAGCCUAUGAUGGCAUCAAUAGAAUGAGAGAUGACAAAUGAUGAUACCGACAUUAAUUAGCAGCCAAUUCCAUGUCAUGGUGAGCGGAUGGUGAUGAUGAAUGCCGACAUUUUUUAUGGACUCGGAGGAGAUAUGAACAUUGGAUGCGACAUUGUCAGUAGCAUGGCCGUGGAAGGAGCUGGGAACCGUCAGCCACCUCCACUGCCUUAUGAGCUUAUCAGAAUGACAAUGGCCACUACAACUGCAGACCAGCAACUUGUAUUGCCGCCAGAUCAGGAAAAGCAGACGGUGGCCGACGAAGUAGGCUCUUUGGAUCAGCUGCAAUCAGUACUGAAUAAGGCAAGCUUUUCUGAUUGGUAUGACUCGCUGCUCAAUGCUGAACCGUUGCUACUGUCAUUUGUUGAUUCAGGGAUGCCCUUCAGAGAUUGUCGGAUGCCGCCAAUACCAUUUUCGGAUGGCAUUGCAUCUUCUGCUGUGAUUGAAGGAAAGAAGUAUGCGUGAGAAAGCGCGAGGAAACAUGAGAAAGCGGCAUGUAAUUGGAUUUAAUUUUUGUUACAUUAAUUUUUUAUACUCUGUAUGCAAGAUAGUGUAUGUGUUGAUUUAGUGCUCAUAUAGGUGAUUUUAUUGGGGGUUAUGCAAAUGUAAAGUUAAUCAUUCAUUGUUACAGGGAAGCUAACAUAUGUAAAUAUCAUCUAUUUUUCUUUAUAAACAUUGGCUGUGUAAAAGUGUCCGUUAUCUUUGGCAACUUGUAAUGUUGUGAAACAGAGUUAGUUUAUCUGCUUCAAUUAAUGCAAGCUGCUUUUUAUUUUUUUUAAAUUUUUUAUAUUUGGUCUUGUAUUACUGGAGGCAGUAAAGUGAAAACACACAUGUACGUAUGCAUGAACAAAUGCACAAAUGUCCAAUUAAAUACCAACUACCCAAAUGAUUUCCAUGUAGAACAAUCCUGUAUAAAUUGACUAAUGAUGGUAAGAACAUAGUAUCUUCUCAAUACCCAACUAAACACUGACAGAAAAGAUAUACAUUAUUUCAGAUUAAGAUCAAGUAUUUAUAUUCACCUGAAGUCGCAACUAGUUUUACGUCUUUCUCACGCUAAAGAAUGAAGCACCCAAAGAAUUUCUCUAGUCUUCAUAUGAUAGAUAUAAGUUGCUCUAGCACUCCUAGUUUUUCCACUGCAUAUAACAAAUCAAAAGCCCAUAAAAUACUGACAUGCUAGAAAUCAGAGCCCAUUAUUUAGAAUGAGUAAAAAUAGCUCAUAGAUUUGUGCUUCUACAGCAUAUACACACUUCGCAAGACAAGUAUUGUUAUAUUUCAAAAUUAACAGAGGCAGACCAUCCAAAAAAAACACAGAACAAAUAAGAUAAUAGCCGGGCUACACUACAUGUGCUUAAGAUGGCUCAUAUAAUGAAAUUACUAACCAUUGGAGAAGGCAUUUUAAUCUUUUCCAUCUGAAAGUCUCCCUCACUUUUGAGUCAGGUACAGAGACUAUAGGCAAGAUGAAAACAAAAAUGAUAAUCAUACAACAUAAAUGAUUAAUUUGAACCAAUUACAAUAUGUAGGGAUAUGGAAGUGUCUUUAAGAGAAUGUGCCUCCUUUGAAAUUCUUGAAAAUGCAGGACCUACUUGCACCAGGAGUGCUAAUCAUGCAUUGAGCAAUUCCAAACAGAAAAUUUAAAUGGUACAGUAGCAGCACAUGAAAAUUUACUGAUAUAAAACCUAAUGAGAACAAUUUUUCUUCUGCUUAUGUUGGACUUCAUUGGUCUUGUAGGAUAUGGGCAUGGAUUCAAAUUUGGUUGGUUAUUGAAUCAGUAGGGCUAUCUAAUUAGGCUAUCUGGCUAACAUCGUAGAUUUAGGUGUGUGCCUACAUCUAACCAUUUUCAUGCUGAAAUUAGUUCAAUAGCAGAUGCGGACACCCUAUUUAAGAUUUUCAAAAGGAAAAAAAUUAAGAAUAAAUUCUAAAUGAUGCUGACAACAGUUUGGAUUAGUUCUAUUUGCAAAAGAGAAGGAUUGAUGUUCACAUGCUGCAAUGGUUAUGUUGGUCAACAAUUGGUGGUAUGGACUACCAAGCAUUCGUAUUUAUGCUGGUAAGAUUUGCGCGAAUGAAAUUACCAAAUCAUGUACGAUGAUUUACCACGAAUCGAGUAAUUUUGCUAUAAUGAUCAUUCAUCGCCUUUAACUUGCUUAAAAUGUUAUUUAAUACAAUAAAAAGUACACAUUGAUAUCAAGAAUUUAAUAAGGUCAUACAGCACAUUGAUAUCAAGAAUUUUAUAAGGUCAUACACAUAGGCAUCAAGAUUCAAGACAUACAGUAUAGGUUCACAAUAAAGUUUUGAGUAGGGCUGAGAUUUGUAGGUCAGACGUGCACAGUCUAACUUGAUAGAAACAGAUAAAUUUAUUGGCUUAAUCUUCCUGCACUACAACAAUGCUAUUCUAAAAUCACCAUAAUCCACCAAAUAUUACAUCAGAAGUCUAGCAACAGUGUUUCUCACACAAAAGUUAAAAAGUCAAUUAUCGAGCACCCCAAUUGAAGGGUAUCGAAUAAUCAGAAAAAUUAAAGUGGUAUCGGCCAAACUUUGGUUUUCUAAAUACAGCAACUUAAAAGUAUGUAGAUACAAAAUUAAGUUCUUUCAGCAGAAAUGUGAAAAUUUAGAUAUUUCAAGGAUAUAUAUGUAAAUAUCUGAAAAAGGAAAUACAAACAAAAAUUAAACAUGCAAGUGAUUCAAUGACAAUCCAGCGAAUGAGAAUUUACAGGCACCUGCCACUUUGAACGAUAGAUAAAAUCUGAUUCUUAUGUGGUUGAAGGUAGUUGGAGAGGACAACAAUACAGUGAACGGAAACAAAAUCAAGCCUUGUGCAACAAAGAUCGAUACUGUAACCAGAUUUUACCACCCGUGCAUUGCCAAUGAGAUCUACCUUUCUUAUAUGUUAAGCUCAUA